This 253-nucleotide ribosomal RNA is filed under the name uncultured bacterium. RNAcentral's name for it is "partial 16S ribosomal RNA". It matches the Rfam family "Bacterial small subunit ribosomal RNA", at positions 524 to 776 of the family's 1533-position model. The record is from RNAcentral.
UACGAAGGGGGCUAGCGUUGUUCGGAAUUACUGGGCGUAAAGCGUGCGCAGGCGGCUUCUCAAGUCAGGGGUGAAAGCCCAGAGCUCAACUCUGGAAUUGCCUUUGAGACUGAGUGGCUUGAGUACGAGAGAGGUGAGUGGAAUUCCCAGUGUAGAGGUGAAAUUCGUAGAUAUUGGGAAGAACACCGGUGGCGAAGGCGGCUCACUGGCUCGUAACUGACGCUCAUGCACGACAGCGUGGGGAACAAGCAGG